RNAcentral lists this ribosomal RNA (441 nucleotides) under uncultured bacterium. RNAcentral's name for it is "partial 16S ribosomal RNA". It matches the Rfam family "Bacterial small subunit ribosomal RNA", at positions 339 to 795 of the family's 1533-position model. The record is from RNAcentral.
CUACGGGUGGCAGCAGUGGGGAAUAUUGCACAAUGGGCGAAAGCCUGAUGCAGCAACGCCGCAUGAACGAUGAAGGCCUUCGGGUUGUAAAGUUCUUUUCUUGGAGAGGAAUCCAUGACGGUAUCCAAGGAAUAAGCCCCGGCUAACUACGUGCCAGCAGCCGCGGUAAUACGUAGGGGGCAAGCGUUAUCCGGAAUCACUGGGCGUAAAGGGAGUGUAGGCGGUCAAGCAAGUCAGGGGUGAAAGGCAUCGGCUCAACCGAUGUAAGCCUUUGAAACUGUUUGACUUGAGUGCAGGAGAGGUAAGUGGAAAUUCCUAGUGUAGCGGUGAAAUGCGUAGAUAUUAGGAGGAACACCAGUGGCGAAGGCGACUUACUGGACUGUAACUGACGCUGAGGCUCGAAAGCGUGGGGAGCGAACAGGAUUAGAUACCCCUGUAGUC